ACCUCGAUGUCGGCUCUUCGCCACCUGGGGCUAUAGUAUGUUCCAAGGGUUGGGCUGUUCGCCCAUUAAAACAGUACGUGAGCUGGGUUCAGAACGUCGUGAGACAGUAA
This 110-nucleotide ribosomal RNA is filed under the name Prunus dulcis (almond). Its description in RNAcentral is "rRNA LSU_rRNA_bacteria". It matches the Rfam family "Bacterial large subunit ribosomal RNA", at positions 2523 to 2632 of the family's 2925-position model. Lineage: Eukaryota; Viridiplantae; Streptophyta; Magnoliopsida; Rosales; Rosaceae. The record is from Rfam by way of RNAcentral.